RNAcentral lists this ribosomal RNA (369 nucleotides) under Triticum aestivum (bread wheat). RNAcentral's name for it is "partial small subunit ribosomal RNA". The record is from RNAcentral. Lineage: Eukaryota; Viridiplantae; Streptophyta; Magnoliopsida; Poales; Poaceae.
AUGGAUAAUACAAACCACAAUAUCAUUGUGUGGAACGUUCGCGGGCUCAAUAAUGCGGCUAGAGGGGCUGCCAUGAGAAGCUUGGUAGAAGAUGCGGCGGCCUCGGUGCUGUGCAUCCUGGAGUCCAAACUAGCGUUAGUGGACCAACGUGUGAUUGCCUCCUUGCUGGGCCUGAAAUUCGAUACGUACGUGGCCCUGCCCGCGCGUGGCACGACAGGCGGGAUCAUUGUCGCUUGGGACUCUUUGGUGCUCACGGUGCCUGCCUUCCGCAUCGACCAGUUCUCUGUCACGAUCGAGAUGGCCUUUGGGGGGGGGGGGCAACCAGUGGACCCUGACCACGGUAUACGGGCCGACGGACGACGCACUUAA